AUGGGCGCAGCCUGAUGCAGCAAUGCCGCGUGAGUGAUGAAGGCCUUCGGGUUGUAAACCUCUUUUACCGGGGAAGAAAAUGACGGUACCCGUAGAAAAAGCCCCGGCUAACUCCGUGCCACCACCCGCGGUAAUA
This 136-nucleotide ribosomal RNA is filed under the name uncultured bacterium. RNAcentral's name for it is "partial 16S ribosomal RNA". It matches the Rfam family "Bacterial small subunit ribosomal RNA", at positions 371 to 525 of the family's 1533-position model. The record is from RNAcentral.